Molecule: ribosomal RNA, 492 nt
Filed under: uncultured bacterium
Lineage: Bacteria
Description: partial 16S ribosomal RNA
Rfam family: Bacterial small subunit ribosomal RNA
Source: RNAcentral
AGUGAACGCUGGCGGUAGGCCUAACACAUGCAAGUCGAACGGCAGCACAGUAAGAGCUUGCUCUUACGGGUGGCGAGUGGCGGACGGGUGAGGAAUACAUCGGAAUCUACUUUUUCGUGGGGGAUAACGUAGGGAAACUUACGCUAAUACCGCAUACGACCUACGGGUGAAAGCAGGGGAUCUUCGGACCUUGCGCGAUUGAAUGAGCCGAUGUCGGAUUAGCUAGUUGGCGGGGCAAAGGCCCACCAAGGCGACGAUCCGUAGCUGGUCUGAGAGGAUGAUCAGCCACACUGGAACUGGGACACGGUCCAGACUCCUACGGGAGGCAGCAGUGGGGAAUAUUGGACAAUGGGCGCAAGCCUGAUCCAGCCAUGCCGCGUGGGUGAAGAAGGCCUUCGGGUUUUAAAGCCCUUUUGUUGGGAAAGAAAAGCAGCAGGUUAAUACCCCGCUGUUCUGACGGUACCCAAAGAAUAAGCACCGGCUAACUUCGUG